This 484-nucleotide ribosomal RNA is filed under the name uncultured bacterium. RNAcentral describes it as "partial 16S ribosomal RNA". It matches the Rfam family "Bacterial small subunit ribosomal RNA", at positions 28 to 507 of the family's 1533-position model. The record is from RNAcentral.
AUUGAACGCUGGCGGAAUGCUUUACACAUGCAAGUCGAACGGCAGCACGGGGGCAACCCUGGUGGCGAGUGGCGAACGGGUGAGUACUACAUCGGAACGUGCCCGGUCGUGGGGGAUCACGUAGCGAAAGUUACGCUAAUACCGCAUACGCUCUGAGGAUGAGAGCGGGGGACCUUCGGGCCUCGCGCGAUCGGAGCGGCCGAUGUCAGUUUAGGUAGUUGGUGGGGUAAAGGCCUACCAAGCCGACAGUCGGUAGCUGGUCGGAGAGGGCGACCAGCGACACUGGGACUGAGACACGGCCCAGACUCCUACGGGAGGCAGCAGUGGGGAAUUUUGGACAAUGGGGGCAAGCCUGAUCCAGCCAUGCCGCGUGCAGGACGAAGGCCUUCGGGUGGGAAACUGCUUUUGUAUGGAACGAAAAGGCUCUGGCUAAUACCUGGGGCUCAUGACGGUACCGUAAGAAUAAGCACCGGCUAACUACGUG